AGAGUUUGAUCCUGGCUCAGGAUAAACGCUGGCGGCGUGCUUAACACAUGCAAGUCGAACGAAGUUUUUCUUUCGGGAGAAACUUAGUGGCGGACGGGUGAGUAACGCGUGGGUAACCUGCCCUGUACAGGGGGACAACAGCUGGAAACGGCUGCUAAUACCGCAUAAGCCCUUAGCACUGCAUGGUGCAUAGGGAAAAGGAGUAAUCCGGUACAGGAUGGACCCGCGUCUGAUUAGCCAGUUGGCAGGGUAACGGCCCACCAAAGCAACGAUCAGUAGCCGAUCUGAGAGGAUGUACGGCCACAUUGGGACUGAGACACGGCCCAGACUCCUACGGGAGGCAGCAGUGGGGAAUAUUGCACAAUGGGGGAAACCCUGAUGCAGCGACGCCGCGUGGAGGAAGAAGGUCUUCGGAUUGUAAACUCCUGUUGUUGAGGAAGAUAAUGACGGUACUCAACAAGGAAGUGACGGCUAACUACGUGCCAGCAGCCGCGGUAAAACGUAGGUCACAAGCGUUGUCCGGAAUUACUGGGUGUAAAGGGAGCGCAGGCGGGAGAACAAGUUGGAAGUGAAAUCCAUGGGCUCAACCCAUGAACUGCUUUCAAAACUGUUUUUCUUGAGUAGUGCAGAGGUAGGCGGAAUUCCCGGUGUAGCGGUGGAAUGCGUAGAUAUCGGGAGGAACACCAGUGGCGAAGGCGGCCUACUGGGCACCAACUGACGCUGAGGCUCGAAAGUGUGGGUAGCAAACAGGAUUAGAUACCCUGGUAGUCCACACCGUAAACGAUGAUUACUAGGUGUUGGAGGAUUGACCCCUUCAGUGCCGCAGUUAACACAAUAAGUAAUCCACCUGGGGAGUACGACCGCAAGGUUGAAACUCAAAGGAAUUGACGGGGGCCCGCACAAGCAGUGGAGUAUGUGGUUUAAUUCGACGCAACGCGAAGAACCUUACCAAGUCUUGACAUCCCUUGACGAUGCUGGAAACAGUAUUUCUCUUCGGAGCAAGGAGACAGGUGGUGCAUGGUUGUCGUCAGCUCGUGUCGUGAGAUGUUGGGUUAAGUCCCGCAACGAGCGCAACCCUUAUGGUCAGUUACUACGCAAGAGGACUCUGGCCAGACUGCCGUUGACAAAACGGAGGAAGGUGGGGAUGACGUCAAAUCAUCAUGCCCUUUAUGACUUGGGCUACACACGUACUACAAUGGCGUUAAACAAAGAGAAGCAAGACCGCGAGGUGGAGCAAAACUCAGAAACAACGUCCCAGUUCGGACUGCAGGCUGCAACUCGCCUGCACGAAGUCGGAAUUGCUAGUAAUCGUGGAUCAGCAUGCCACGGUGAAUACGAACCCGGGCCUUGCACACACCGCCCGUCA
RNAcentral lists this ribosomal RNA (1366 nucleotides) under uncultured bacterium. RNAcentral's name for it is "bacterial SSU rRNA". It matches the Rfam family "Bacterial small subunit ribosomal RNA". The record is from RNAcentral.